CACCAUUUUGGUUGGUACCGGACGCUUUGUCUGGUAUUUAGGGGAGCGAGUCGUUCGUCAGCAUAGCGGCGAUCGUUUUGUGGUGCCCUCAUCUCCACCAGAGUCGAUGCUGGACUCACGCUUGAUCAGAGAGUUGAUCAACAGGGGAGAGCGCUAUACUUUUCCAUGGCAGGAGCUUGUACACAUGGGGAGUGACUAUGCGCGGGAUUUGCUUCCCUCUCUGGCUCCUCCACCCCGUCUUCCUGAGACGACUAUUCGCCCUAUGGGGAGGAUCGAGAUUCCUCCUCAGUCUGUCCGCUAUCCAGGGCCGAUUGGUAUCACCGAGGACCUUAUUGCUGAUGCGCCAGAGGGUUACAGACAGGCGUAGGAGUCUCUGCCUGAGGUCUUUGAGCCGCCUAACCGCCCGGAGAUGAUGGGACUCAUGAAGCUGGCUGACGCCCUGAAGUAUUCCAUCAUCAAGCUUCGGCGUGGUGCGAGUUGUCGGAGCUCUAGCGACGUUCUUGAGGUAUCAUUCAUUUUUUUAC
Chenopodium quinoa (quinoa) is the source of this 524-nucleotide long non-coding RNA. RefSeq lists it as uncharacterized. NCBI's taxonomy places the organism in Eukaryota, Viridiplantae, Streptophyta, Magnoliopsida, Caryophyllales, Amaranthaceae. The transcript has 3 exons. The record is from RefSeq and is a predicted model, not a curated record.